Molecule: ribosomal RNA, 253 nt
Filed under: uncultured bacterium
Lineage: Bacteria
Description: partial 16S ribosomal RNA
Rfam family: Bacterial small subunit ribosomal RNA
Source: RNAcentral
UACGGGGGGAGCAAGCGUUGUUCGGAUUUACUGGGCGUAAAGGGCGCGUAGGCGGCGCAACAAGUCAGCUGUGAAAUCUCCGGGCUCAACUCGGAGCGGCCAGCUGAUACUGUCGUGCUAGAGUGCGGAAGGGGCUACUGGAAUUCUCGGUGUAGCGGUGAAAUGCGUAGAUAUCGAGAGGAACACCUGUGGCGAAGGCGGGUAGCUGGGCCGACACUGACGCUGAGGCGCGAAAGCUAGGGGAGCGAACGGG